RNAcentral lists this microRNA precursor (93 nucleotides) under Marmota monax (woodchuck). Lineage: Eukaryota; Metazoa; Chordata; Mammalia; Rodentia; Sciuridae. The record is from RNAcentral.
UAUAUAUACACAGACACACAGACACACACACACACACAUAUAUAUAUAUAUAAUGUGUGUGUGUGUGUGUGUGUGUGUGUGUGUGUAUAUAUA